Molecule: long non-coding RNA, 4078 nt
Filed under: Gallus gallus (chicken)
Lineage: Eukaryota; Metazoa; Chordata; Aves; Galliformes; Phasianidae
Description: lncRNA (ENSGALG00010017317.1)
Source: RNAcentral
CCCAAUAAUAGAACCACAUCCCUCAUGGUGAUGUCCUAGGGGAUUCUCAGCCCCAUGGGUUUUGUCAUUAAAAAAGUUCUCUAGAUCACCUUUUGCACUGAGAGGAAUGACAGUCUGUGGGAAUGCACAGUUCACCAUGGCUUGCAGGGGGAAAAACAUCUUGAAAUUUAGAAGACAUUACAAAACGCUUAGAGGAUGCAUCCUAGGUGAGAAAAAAUGAGUGGAUCAAGGUGCUGUGAGAAAGAAGCAUGUGAAAGGAAAAGAAAGGGAAAAGCUGCUGAGGGGAUCCAUACUGCAGCUCAGGACCCCUGUUCUGCUCAUGCUGGGACUGUCACACAGUGCACCACAUUUCUGAAAGGAAACAGAAGGCUUUCUUUUAUAAACGUCCAUAACUGACAUAGCUCUGCUACUCAGAGUGACUAUGGAACUCAGAGAUGUUCUUCUGCCUCUAGGUACUUAUGACAGGUCACAUCAAUAAGUUUUUACACAGAUGUGGUGAGUGCAGAAGCAGCCUCCUCCCACCAGCUGUUUUUGGAAAGUGAUAAAGCAUCAUUAGAAAAGAGAAGAAAAGGGAGAUAAAAUUCAGUGUUGAUGUUGCCUUGACUGAUCUGCAACUCUGGUACAGGACCUCCUGUUUUAUGUUCCUAGUCUUGAAACACCAAGCUGUGACAUGCAGUCAACACAUCCAAAGCAUGGGUUGCCAUUCAGAGAGACCUACACAAGUUUGAGCAGUGGGCCCAGGAGAACCUCUUGACGUUCAACAAAUCCAAGUGCAAAGUCAUGCACCUGGAUCAAGACAACUCCCAUUACCAGUAUAAGCUGGGGUAUGAAAGGACUGAGCACAGCCCCAACAAAAAAGGAUUUGGGAGUACUGGUGGAUUGCAAGCUGGACAUCAGUCUGCAGUGUGCUCUCACAGCUCAGAAAUUCAAUCAUACUCCGGUCUGCAUCAAAAGAAGCAUGGUCAGCAGCGUAAGGGAGGUGAUCCUGUUCCUCUGUGCUGGUAAGACCUCACCUGAAGUACUGAAUCCAGAUGUGGAGUCCUCAGUACAGGAGAGACAUGGACCUGUUGAAGUGUGUCAAGGGGAGGGCCACAGAGAUGAUCCAUGGGAUGGAACACUUACCCUACUGGGACAGACUAAGAUACCUGAGGCUGUUCAGCCUGGAGGAGAGAAGGCUCUAGGGAGUUAUUUUAAAAUGCCAAUGUAUAGUCUUGCAAAAAAGCACAAUCUUGACUGAAAGUAUUAAAAAAUGUUGCAUAUGGUCAUUAACCAAAAAUCUCUGUGUGUGAAAUAGAUCUUUCCUUUAGCAAAAUUCUAAAUCAUUUAACAAAUUAUUUAAAAAUAGGCAGAAGCACAUCCAACAAUAAAAGACAAACAUCACCAAAGAAAUCCAUUAAAAACAGAAUUAUUAAUAGAUGUUUUUUACAGUAUUUAUUUUGUAUAAAGGGGAUUUGUCUGUACAUUUAGUAUCACUUUAUGUAACAAUUUGAGAAAACUAUCUAUCAAUCCACAGCUUCAAACAGCUUUUUCUGUUGCUUAUAUACACAAGCACUUGUUCUGCAGCAGUAUGAAGCUCUGAAAAGAAGUGUUGCAUGACCAGAAUACAUUUGAAGGAAGCUAGACUUUGCUUUGAACCAGAUAAAUUGGUGGGUAAGAGAUAAACAUCUCAAGCGUGGCUGUAGUAGAGGUAAUUUUUUUUAUGUUAUGUUUUGUCUACAGUAUAAUUCUACAAGUAAAGAAAUGCCUGUCUAGAAAAGCUGAGAUCUCUGCAUUAAAAUACUUUGUAGAGCACAAGCAUAUCUUACAUACAGACAAACCAAAGUAUUAUGCUUUUAAAUGUACAAAUUUACAUACCUUGGUCUUGGCUCUCACACUUUUCAAAUCACCAGCAUUUUAAGUGCAGAUGCAUCAGGCUGAAAUGUAUAUGAUUUUUAAAUGCUACAUUUUGAAGGUUAAAACAAUAAAUAUAUCUAUUUUAUAUGAAGGAAAAAUAGAAAUAAGAUCCCUGAGUAAGUGCAGUAUCUGUCAAUUUCUGACCAAAGAUCCAGCUCCUUAAAAGGAAAAUAACACUAUUCCUUUUAAAUAUAAUUAUUUUAAAAGAUACUGUUAAAUGUAAGAAGUAACGCUCAAUUAUUAUUAAGCAACAUCUAAAAGGAUUUACUUACUAACAAUAAAAGAUGAAGUUUUCUUUCUGGUUAAUGUUCAAGAUAACGGCAAUAAUUUAAAUACGUAAUUUAUAUAUAUAUAUUAUUUAUAUAUAAUAUAAUAAAUGUAUUGUAAUGUACCUAAAUACGAACUUUACAGAAUGGGCUGUUUAACAUGUGUGUAAUAAUCCUUUUGGAAAUAAAGUACUGCAUGGUAUUCAAUAAAUACCUAUUUGUUUCUUUGUUUAAAUAAUAUAAUCAGCUAUUUAUUUCAGUGUUAAACUUACAUUUGAGUAAUAUUAAUUACACAGUGUAAUUACCUUGCCUGUGAUCAUGAUUUGGGGACAGAGUGUAUUGCCUGUGAUGCUGGCUAACAAUGAUAUGAUGUUUCUUACAUGGUCCAUCACUCUGCAUCCAUUUGUUUGCUUUACAUUUGCCCUGUAGAACUUCCAGUACCAAAAGUGCAUAGAAUAGUAAUGGAUGUCUAGCAUUCUAUCACUCAGAGAAUGUAGUUCAAAUAUACUGCUUUAAGUGAAAAGUUAUCUGUAAUCAGUAGCUGAAUGUAAAGAGCAGUUAGUGCUCAGUAGUUAUGGUAGAAAACACAAAAUGCAAUCAAAUAGCAGUCUGUACUCUGCAGGCAUAUGAUAAAUACUGUCCCUGUCCUGAGGAUUUUAUAGCUAAUGUGCUCUCUUUCGUACAGCACUGAACACGAAGAAUGUAUUUGCAAUGGUCUUUCUACAACAGAGAGUGUUUUUUAACUUGAAGAUAACUGUUUCUGUGAAGAAAAAAAAAUUGUAUUCUAUAAUAUCCACAGUGCUUUUAUUGGCACAGAUAAUAUAGUCCUUCAGAGGAAACACAGAAACUUCUGUUUUAUUUUCUUUUUUUAUAUCUCUUUUUGUCCUCUUGUAUCUCAGUGCAGUUGUCAUUAUAGGCUAUGACCACAUAGGCACCAAGUAAGAAACUAGUUUAUCCCUUCAAUUGUCAAAUUAUUUUACACUGUUCAUCAUUAAAAUAUAUGAAUGUAACACUUCAAUGUUAAAAACAAAUACUCCAGGUGUGCUUCUGCAUGUACACUUCUUUAGAUACUUAAGUUCAGGUUCACACAGGGGAAAACAUAUUCUGACCUUGGAGUGGAUGCCCAGACCAGAGAUGGCUUGAUCAGUCCAUUUCUGAAGAAGGAAGUUUAGUGCCAUUCAACAUUUAAAACAUAGAUAUAUCGCACUGUUCUAUACACUGUUCAUCUUUAAAGAGUUUUUUAGUGCUUAAGAAUAACUGAGAUUCAAAGGUCAUCAUCAGUUACUGCAUUUAUCACCUUAUUUUAUUCUAUUAAGACAUAAUUGGAGAGGCAGGGCUCUUUGAGGUAGAAGGCUAAGUAAUGGACUUACUCUUAUCUUGCAAAAGGUUGGUUUGCUGACUUCAAUGCUUUCCUAAGUAAGAUAAAAUUCAUUUAUCUGGCUUUCCAAGCUAUGAAAAGAGAAAGGCAUUCCUAUUGUAACAUUUUCUGCACAGCUUCAUGGAGCAAGAAAGAAAAAUAAGAUUUUGUUCAUGUGUUACAAGCAAACUUCCUGGAAGGAAAGUUUCAAAUAUCAGUCCAUGUUCCUAGGACCACUUACAUAAUCUGAAUAAAUGUGUAGGCUAAAAUAUACAAUCAGUAUGCAAGGCUUUAUUGGCAAAAUAGGUUACUUACUGUGUUACAAAUUCAUACUGCAUCUCAAGAUCCCUUACUGAAUUAAACUUGAAAUCUCUGUUCAGCUGUUUUGGUAAAGUUUCUAAUGCAUGAUUUCUGUGAAUCUGGAAAAGUUAUUUAAUUGUUUACUUCACUAUCUCCAGUUAUAUCUGAUGCAAAAGAAGUUACCCAUACAGAUUUUACUGGAUCACAGAAAAAUGUUGUGUUUGGGCAGCUUUAUAAUGUUUGAAUUAAAUAAAAAUAAAAA